CAGCACCUCAAGUGGUCAGGAUGAUUAUUGGGCCUAAAGCAUCCGUAGCCGGCGCUGUAAGUUUUCGGUUAAAUCUGUACGCUCAACGUACGGGCUGCCGGGAAUACUGCAGCGCUAGGGAGUGGGAGAGGUAGACGGUACUCGGUAGGAGGGGGUAAAAUCCUUUGAUCUAUUGAUGACCACCUGUGGCGAAGGCGGUCUACCAGAACACGUCCGACGGUGAGGGAUGAAAGCUGGGGGAGCAAACCGGAUUAGAUACCCGAGUAGUCC
Molecule: ribosomal RNA, 270 nt
Filed under: uncultured archaeon
Lineage: Archaea
Description: partial 16S ribosomal RNA
Rfam family: Archaeal small subunit ribosomal RNA
Source: RNAcentral